This 77-nucleotide transfer RNA is filed under the name Chthonomonas sp. RNAcentral describes it as "tRNA-Pro". It matches the Rfam family "tRNA". From Rfam's summary of the family: Transfer RNA (tRNA) molecules are approximately 80 nucleotides in length. Their secondary structure includes four short double-helical elements and three loops (D, anti-codon, and T loops). Lineage: Bacteria; Bacillati; Armatimonadota; Chthonomonadia; Chthonomonadales; Chthonomonadaceae. The record is from RNAcentral.
CGGGGCAUGGCGCAGCUUGGUAGCGCGCUUAUCUGGGGGGUAAGAGGUCGUGGGUUCAAAUCCCGCUGCCCCGACCA